This 3418-nucleotide long non-coding RNA is filed under the name Mus musculus (house mouse). Its description in RNAcentral is "predicted gene, 31517". Lineage: Eukaryota; Metazoa; Chordata; Mammalia; Rodentia; Muridae. The record is from RNAcentral.
AGAGCAUCUGCCUGGGGCAUGAAAAGAUGUGUCAACACAUGCCAUACUCGCACUGUUCUGCAGAACAUCACUAUUCUGCAUAAGAAAUUUAACUUUCCGGAGCCUCCAGAAAGGAGGCUUACCUUAGGGGAUCUUUAUCUUGGUUGCCAGUUUGAUGGGAUCUUGGAUCAAUCAAGAGAUGUGCUUCAACACUACUCUUCGAGGAGAUGCUACCCAGAAGGGAGAGCAGUACCAGCCCAGAUGUAGAGGUUGAGGGAAAAAUAUUGAUGCUUUUGCCUGCCUGCCGUUGGUCCUUGCUGGAAUCCCCUGAGCCUUUAGAAGCAGGCUGGGACCCGCUGCUGUGACAUUCAGCCUUGUGAACUGAACGGAUCCCACAUUCGGAGCCUCUCCAGUGCUCACACAACCACUCGGGACUACACAGACCUAUUGUGCAAGCCGUGUAAUAAAUCCCAACUUGUCAUGGUGUAUCCAGGACUUGCUACAGUGGGAGAAUUGGGAUCUGAGGAUGCCAGCUAAGAGGAAUUGGAACUAUAAAAUGCUGAAAUUCAACAGUAAGAAACCUGUGGAGAGCAUACAUGCCAGGAUCAGAAAGAUGGAUUCAGCCCUACAGAGAGGAGUCUAGCAUAGCUGUCUUCUGAGAAGAUCUGCCCAGCAGUUGGUUGAAACAGAUACAUUGGACAGAGCUCUGGAAUUCUUAUGGAAGAGUUGGGGGAAGGCCUGUCCAGUUCUUUUCCAGAAGGCCAGAGGACAGAUGAGCUUUGAUGCUAUACCUGAAAUGAAGCCUGAAACUGAAGAGUAGAGGUGUGACCCAGAGCCUGUCUAGGGAGCUUGGCUUUAGAGUCUCGACUAAAUGCAUCUCUCAAUCUCGAGAAGAUUCCAAGAGCUACUCCCUGCUAUGCUGGUUGGGGUCUAAGGAAGCCAGAAGCUGGAAAGAAUCCAGAUGUCCCUCAACAGAAGGAUGGAUACAGAAAAAUUGAUACAUUUACACAAUGGAGUAUUACUCAGCUAUUAAAAACAAUGAAAUUAUGAAAUUUUUAGGCAAAUGGAUGGAUCUGGAGGAUAUCAUCCUGAGUUUGGUAACCCAAUCACAAAAGAACACACAUAAUAUGCACUCACUGAGAAGUGGAUAUUAGCCCAGAAGCUCAGCAUACCCAAGAUACAAUUCACAAACCACAUGAAACUCAAGAAUGAAGACCAAAGUGUGGAUACUUUGAUCCUUCUUAGAAGGGGGAAUAAAAUACCCAUUGGAGGAGUUACAGAGACAAAGAGUAGAGCAGAGAAUGAAGGAAUGACCAUGCAGAGACUACUCCACUUGAGGAUCUAUCCCAUAAACAAUCACCAAAGCCAGACACUAUUGUGGAUGCCAACAUGUGCUUGCUGACAGGAGCCUGAAAUAGAUCUCUCCUGAGAGACUCUGUUAGUACCUAACAAAUACAGAAGAGGAUGCUUAUAGACAUCUAUUGGACUGAGCACAGGGUCUCCAAUGAAGGAGCUAGAGAAAGUACCCAGGAAGUGAAGGGUUUUGCAGCCACAUAGGAGGAACAACAAUAUGAACUAACCAGUACCUCCAGAGCUCCCAGGGACUAAACCACCAACCAAAGAAUACAUAUGAUGGGACUCACGGCUCCAGCUGCUUAUGUAGCAGAGGAUGACCUACUCGUUCAUCAAUGGGAGGAGAGGCCCUUAGUCCUAUGAAGGCUCUAAGCCCCAGUGUAGGUGAAUGCCAGGGCCAGGAAGCAGGAUUGGGUCCUUUGGUGAGCAGAAGGAGAGCAGAGAGUAUAGGGAGUUUUCAGAGGGAAAAUCAGGAAAGGGGAAACAUUUGAAAUGUAAAAAAGAACAUAUCUAAUUAAAAAAUCAAAACCAAACAAUGAUGUCAUGAAAUUCACAGGUAAAUGGAUGGAUAUAUAAAAUAUCAUGCUGAGUGAGGUAACUCAGUCAUAGAAGACCACAUAUGGUAAGUACUCACUGAUUAGUGGGUAUUACAUAAAGAGCAUGGAAUACCCACAAUACAACUAACAGACUACAUGAAAUUUAAGAAGGAAGAACAAAGAGUGAAUGCUUCAGUCCUACCUAAACUGGGAAGAAAAAUUGUUGUGGGCCGACCAGCAGCUCUCGAGGAAUGGUACGACUGAGAUGGCAGCUCAAGCUGAAAGAAAGGAACUAGACGGAUGGAAGAAAGAAUGGAGCUAAGUCAAAUCAGAUUCUAAUCAAAGCUCAAUUUUACUAAUUCGUGCACCAAGUUAUGAAGCAGGGGGAAAGGGUUAAUUCCCGCCAAAUAAUCUUGGGGUCCAGUUGCAGGGUGACCACGUGUAUGGCUCCAGAACAGCAAGGCGGCAGACUCCAGCAGUAGGUGUGGCAGAACAAUUGAGCGGCAGGCUCUACCCCGAUGCAUACAGUGAAACCUGAGCAAACGGGUUCCAGCCUGAGGGGAGGGAUGGUCUCCAGUUACCUGAUUUCUUCUUGAUAAUGAAAAUUGGUGUAUUCCAAGGAGAAUGAGACUCCACCAAAUGUCCAGCUUCUAACUGUUCCUGCACUAGCAAAGAAGCAGCCUCUAUUUUCUCUUUAGGAAAUACAGGGACAAAGAGUAGAGCAAAGACUGAAGGAAAGGACAUCCAGAGACUGCCCCACCUGGUGAUCCAUCCCACAUGCAGACACCAUACCCAGACACUAUUGAUGAUGCCAAGAAGUGCUUGCUUACAGGAGCCUGAUUCAGCUGUCUCAUGAGUGGUUCUGCAGGAUCCUGACCAAUACAGACAUGGAUGCUCUCAGCCAACCAUCAGAUUGAGCACAGGGACAGACUGAACAAUGGCAAAGCUGACAAGAUAUCAAGGUGGGUUUUCUGUUGCAACUCUUCAGUCCUGCCAUUGUGGCUCAAAAGCAGUCAGAGGUAUAAGAACAGAUCAGAAGCUGAAAGAGCUGCAUUGUGACAGGGCAUAGCACACACUGAAUGUGCUAAAGAAGUCAUGAAAGAAGCCCAGCCUAGUGCAUUCUUGUGUCAAGCAGGACCUCUUUUUUUAUAUCUUUCUAAUAGCUGAGAGUCUCUUUCUGACCCUCUGGGUUCUUUUACACUGAAGAGAUACUCCACACAUUUCUGAACUUGUAUAGUGAAGUCUCACAAGGCCUCUCUCUGAAUGCUCCCUGAAUGCUGGUAUAAGACACAGAAACUGUUAGUACCAGGACAUUCCAUACCUAGGUGCUAACAAAGUGACCCAUGACCUACGUUGCCAAGCCAACUACCACCAUAUCCCAGAACCCACUUAGCUCACCUCCCACCCUUAGUUGUGUUACAUCACUUUCCAUAUAAAUAAGGAGAACACCCCUCCUCGAUCUCUUUUUCUUUCCUCUCUUUCUUCUCUCCCCUUCCGCUCCCCCUGCCACUCCUUUCGUCUCUCCCUCACAAUAAACCUCUCUCACAUGG